AAGUCGUAACAAGGUCUCCGUUGGUGAACCUGCGGAAGGAUCAUUAACACGUAUCCACGUCACCUGUUGACAUACACCAAACCUAUUGUUUAUAUAGUAUUUGGAACUGGUCGCUAUGCACUCGUUUGCAUAGAUGUACUGGAACCGGUACUCGUGCACUAUAUUUUUUUUCCCAUUCCCUUAUAUAACUACGCCUUGACUCAAUUGUAGUAGGUCUGGUCUUCGUGACUGGUCUAGUACACGUUUGCUUCUGUUUUUUCGAAAACGGAUUCAAAUGCCUAAUCAAAAUGGACUGAUGCAAAGCAUCUGAUAUAUGAACUUGUUUCAUGUAUUAGAAUGUGAUGACAUUUGUAUAUAUUCAAUAUAUAUGAUCUAAUCACAACUCUUAGCAAUGGAUACCUAGGUUCUC
This 409-nucleotide unclassified non-coding RNA is filed under the name fungal sp. RNAcentral's name for it is "partial internal transcribed spacer region". The stretch from base 1 to 46 matches the Rfam family "Eukaryotic small subunit ribosomal RNA", at positions 1786 to 1831 of the family's 1831-position model. The record is from RNAcentral. Lineage: Eukaryota; Fungi.